AUUGAAUGGCUGCAGUAUUUUGACUGUACAAAGGUAGCAUAAUCAUUAGUUUCUUAAUUAGAAGCUGGUAUGAAUGGUUAAAUGAGAAAAUAGCUGUCUUUAUUUAAAUUUUAAUAGAAUUUUAUUUCUAAGUUAAAAAGCUUAGAUUUAUUUAAAAGACGAGAAGACCCUAUAGAGUUUAAUAGUUUAGAUAUUAUAAGUUUUAGGAAUAGUUAUUUUUUAAUGUUUAUAUUUAUUUGAUUGGGGUGAUUAGAAAAUUUGAUUAACUUUUGUUUAAUUAAUACAUUUAUUUAUGAUUUAUUGAUCCACUAUUAGUGAUUAUAAGAUUAAAUUACCUUAGGGAUAACAGCGUAAUUUUUUUAGCGAGUUCUUAUCAAUAAAAAAGUUUGCGACCUCGAUGUUGGAUUAAAAUUAACUUUCGGUGCAGUAGUUGAAAAGUUAGGUCUGUUCGACCUUUAAAAUUUUACAUGAUCUGAGUUUAAACCGGUGUGAGCCAGGUUGGAUUCUAUCUUUAAAUUGAUAAAGUGAUUUAGUACGAAAGGACCCAUCAUUUGUAAAAAUUAUUUAAUUUUGAAUAAAAUUGUUACUUUGGCAGACUAGUGCAUUAAAUUUAGAAUUUAAUUAUGUAUUUAAUAAUUACAGGUAAUACUUGUUUAUAUUAGAUUUUAUUCUUAUUUUUAUUAGAAGACUAAUUCUGAUUAUUUGUGUGUUAAUUGGAGUA
RNAcentral lists this ribosomal RNA (721 nucleotides) under Enochrus piceus. Its description in RNAcentral is "partial 16S ribosomal RNA". The stretch from base 1 to 551 matches the Rfam family "Bacterial large subunit ribosomal RNA", at positions 1922 to 2925 of the family's 2925-position model. The record is from RNAcentral. Lineage: Eukaryota; Metazoa; Arthropoda; Insecta; Coleoptera; Hydrophilidae.